UCCUAUUAGCUACAUGGUAAGGUAAAGGCUUACCAUGGCUACGAUAGGUAGGGGUCCUGAGAGGAGAUCCCCCACACUGGUACUGAGACACGGACCAGACUCCUACGGGAGGCAGCAGUGAGGAAUAUUGGACAAUGGGCGCAAGCCUGAUGGACCAUGCCGCCUGUAGGAGGACGGCCCUAUGGGUUGUAAACUACUUUUAUACGGGAAGAAACCUAUCCUCGUGAGGAUAGCUGACGGUACCGUAAGAAUAA
Molecule: ribosomal RNA, 254 nt
Filed under: uncultured bacterium
Lineage: Bacteria
Description: partial 16S ribosomal RNA
Rfam family: Bacterial small subunit ribosomal RNA
Source: RNAcentral